RNAcentral lists this ribosomal RNA (422 nucleotides) under uncultured bacterium. RNAcentral's name for it is "bacterial SSU rRNA". It matches the Rfam family "Bacterial small subunit ribosomal RNA", at positions 74 to 512 of the family's 1533-position model. The record is from RNAcentral.
GGCCCUUCGGGGUACACGAGUGGCGAACGGGUGAGUAACACGUGGGUGAUCUGCCCUGCACUUCGGGAUAAGCCCGGGAAACUGGGUCUAAUACCGGAUUGUACUGCGCGGUGCAUGCCGUGUGGUGGAAAGAUUUAUCGGUGCAGGAUGGGCCCGCGGCCUAUCAGCUUGUUGGUGGGGUAAUGGCCUACCAAGGCGACGACGGGUAGCCGGCCUGAGAGGGCGACCGGCCACACUGGGACUGAGACACGGCCCAGACUCCUACGGGAGGCAGCAGUGGGGAAUAUUGCACAAUGGGCGCAAGCCUGAUGCAGCGACCCCGCGUGAGGGAUGACGGCCUUCGGGUUGUAAACCUCUUUCAGCAGGGACAAAGCGCAUGUGACGGUACCUGCAGAAGAAGCACCGGCCAACUACGUGCCAGC